CUUGUUCUAGCAAACCCGAUGCUAUUACAGAUUCAGCUACAGCGAUUCGCAUGUUUACUGGUUCAGAUGAUGAACCAUGCUCCUUGAUCAACCCAACAAAAAAGGUGAUGCAUUCAAUCAAAUAUGCUGGGUCCUCCAAUCGAUUUGGUUUGGUGGGUUCUACAAUUUUCUUCUGCUCACCGGAAAGAGCAAAGCUCGUCAGUAAACUGGCAAACCGUUUCACACAUACAGCCAUGCAACAGAUGAGUUUCUCUCUGGUCUUUGAAUGUCUCGUGACCUUGUAUAAGGACAACAAUUUAUCCCAAAA
Molecule: long non-coding RNA, 307 nt
Filed under: Linum usitatissimum (flax)
Lineage: Eukaryota; Viridiplantae; Streptophyta; Magnoliopsida; Malpighiales; Linaceae
Description: long non-coding RNA (LUSI_LNC001079)
Source: RNAcentral